AUUGUUAAUGAUUUAACAUUGUUUAUAGAAUGGUGAUGGAACAGUUCUUUGUGGCUGUGCUAAUGAUGUCUGCACACCUAGCAGUCUCAUAUCCUCUGACUACAGAGAGCUAUUACAUGGAUGGAGGGAGACAAUGCAGACUGUGUCCACCAGGUCAUUAUCAGAAGUCCUGUUCAGAGUGCUCUCCCUGUCGAGAUGGUUCCUACACAACACGAUUGAACGCAGAGUCCAGUUGUCAUUCCUGCUUCAAAGACUGCA
Salvelinus namaycush (lake trout) is the source of this 258-nucleotide long non-coding RNA. RefSeq lists it as uncharacterized. The transcript has 3 exons. Lineage: Eukaryota; Metazoa; Chordata; Actinopteri; Salmoniformes; Salmonidae. The record is from RefSeq and is a predicted model, not a curated record.